RNAcentral lists this ribosomal RNA (546 nucleotides) under Plectosphaerella cucumerina. RNAcentral's name for it is "eukaryotic LSU rRNA". The stretch from base 160 to 313 matches the Rfam family "5.8S ribosomal RNA". The record is from RNAcentral. Lineage: Eukaryota; Fungi; Ascomycota; Sordariomycetes; Glomerellales; Plectosphaerellaceae.
UCUUGACGGAGGGAUCAUUACUGAGUACUACACUCUCUACCCUUUGUGAACUAUUAUACCUGUUGCUUCGGCGGCGCCCGCGAGGGUGCCCGCCGGUCUCAUCAGAAUCUCUGUUUUCGAACCCGACGAUACUUCUGAGUGUUCUUAGCGAACUGUCAAAACUUUUAACAACGGAUCUCUUGGCUCCAGCAUCGAUGAAGAACGCAGCGAAACGCGAUAUGUAAUGUGAAUUGCAGAAUUCAGUGAAUCAUCGAAUCUUUGAACGCACAUGGCGCCUUCCAGUAUCCUGGGAGGCAUGCCUGUCCGAGCGUCGUUUCAACCCUCGAGCCCCCGUGGCCCGGCGUUGGGGAUCUGCCACGGCAGGCCCCUAAAACCAGUGGCGGACCCGAAGGCCCUCUCCUUUGCGCAGUAGCAUCAGCCUCGCAUUGGGAUCCCUCGGCGUCCUGCCUCUAAACCCCCCACAAGUCCGCUCCGGCGGCACCAAGGUUGACCUCGGAUCAGGUAGGAAUACCCGCUGAACUUAAGCAUAUCAAUAAGCGGAGGAAA